UGAGAAAGUUCCAUUCUUAGGAUAUGC
Molecule: non-coding RNA, 27 nt
Filed under: Homo sapiens (human)
Lineage: Eukaryota; Metazoa; Chordata; Mammalia; Primates; Hominidae
Source: RNAcentral